AUACGGAGGUUGCAAGCGUUGUUCGGAAUCACUGGGCGUAAAGGGCGCGCAGGCGGUUUGGUAAGUCAGAUGUGAAAGCCCACGGCUCAACCGUGGAAGUGCAUUUGAAACUGCCAGACUUGAGUACCAGAGGGGAAAGUGGAAUUCCCGGUGUAGAGGUGAAAUUCGUAGAUAUCGGGAGGAAUACCGGUGGCGAAGGCGACUUUCUGGCUGGAUACUGACGCUGAGGCGCGAAAGCGUGGGGAGCAAACAGGAUUAGAAACCCUAGUAGUCC
This 274-nucleotide ribosomal RNA is filed under the name uncultured bacterium. RNAcentral describes it as "partial 16S ribosomal RNA". It matches the Rfam family "Bacterial small subunit ribosomal RNA", at positions 523 to 796 of the family's 1533-position model. The record is from RNAcentral.